This 24922-nucleotide long non-coding RNA is filed under the name Homo sapiens (human). RNAcentral describes it as "miR222/221 cluster host gene (MIR222HG)". The stretch from base 23031 to 23114 matches the Rfam family "mir-221 microRNA precursor family". The record is from RNAcentral. Lineage: Eukaryota; Metazoa; Chordata; Mammalia; Primates; Hominidae.
ACUCUCCUGCCUGGGCUGCUGCUCAACGGGGGCUGGGGGUGUGUGGGGCGGGGGUGGUCUGUCCAGUGAUUCAGCCACAUGUGAUAGAUGACCAAGUGACUGCUUUCUUGGAGUCCGCACACCAGUGGAAGACUCUCAAAGUGGUUGUGACCGACUUGAUCAAACUCUAGGCUUCCUGAACUGGAAUGAAAUGCAGAUAACUCUUUAGAAAACUUUUGUAGGAAAAGCGCCUCGUGUGAUCUGGAACAAAGACGUUUUAUAAUCAGAUUUAUCAAGCUGCGAAGAGGGAGUUUUAGUGAACGGAAGCAGCAGCAUUCUGUCACCAGGAAAUACUCCUUUAUCCAGAAUUGGUAAGUGAAAAGUGGCAUUGCUCCCUAAUAGAUAUCAUAUGCGUGUGUGGGAAUUGAAAAAUUGUUCACAGACCCCUAACAACUGUGUUGAACAGAGAACACAUAAACAGUGAGGAGUUCUAAAAAAGAGCAGCACGAGAAUACCGCAUAAAGACUGAGAAGAAGCCAGGUAAUUAACAAAAAUGAGCUGAGUGCUAUCAGUUUAGCUAAACAUAUGUAAUACAGCUAGAUUUGGUUGUUUUAUUUUUUCUUGUUAGUGGAGGAGAAACAUAAAAUCAGAAUGGGCUGUUUAGUAGAAUUGCGACAUUAACUUUCCAUGGAUGUAGAUUUCCAUUUAGUCUGAAUAGCAUGUAUGAAAUUUGAAGGGAUGCUUUCAGAAUUAGUCUACUUGCCCUCCUUUCCUUUCCUCUGCAUUAAGAUGUCAAGUAUUUAGUUAGAACCUUACAAGAUGAAAGUUGUACAAAAUGAAAGUUCAAGUAAUGCGUCGGAAACACCUCUCCUGAUUGGGAAGGGUAGAUUACAAUGGCAAUAGAUUUUUGUUUUUUGUUUCUUACAUUUGUGUCACGAAUUUUAAGUUUGUUCUAUUGGAUUACAUUAGUACAGCAAAAGGGGGGUUAUUUCUAUCUAUAUGGUUCAUGACAUUUUGAGAGGUCGUGAUUAGUAGUUCUUACUGGUUUCGUAUGCGUGUUCCUGCCUGUUGAAUUCAGUUUUCUAAUCUUGAAUCUGAGCUGCCUUUAUGUUAAAGGGUUCUAGAAAAAGACAAUAAAGCUUUGAAUACCCGUGUUAUAUACAACAGGUUCCUGUUCAUGAUGUAUAAGGUAACGCAAUUUUAUUUUAGGCAUGAAUGUCUAAUUUCUUGAUUUGGCUUCUUAAGAAUAUACUGAAAAGGUUGAAUAGAAUAAGAAAAAGAACAUUAGAAAAGAAUGGUGGGUGACUGCCUGAUUUUACUAGUUUCUUAUUGGUCAAUAGAAGUAAUCAUGUGAUGUCUACUUAUAGAAGCAAAUGGAAAAAAUUUUUCUUCUUUAACUGCUAACAAGUAUAUAGGCAAUUUUAGCAAUCUUCAUUUAUUAAUUUGAAUAUAUAAUUAUAACUGUUAUUAACAGAAUAAGUUUUGGGUAAUAUAGGAAAUAAUAAUUAUUUCUUUCUUUUUAAGCCAAAUUGGAAGUUGAAUCUACUUUUGGUUCCUGUUCUGUUACUUUCAAAAUCUUAAAAUCCUUAACUCAAAAGGGAAAAUGUAUAAUAAAACAGGAUAGCAGUGCUGAAAUUUCUCUCUCUUAGCAGUGGAGUGGGAUGAGGGUGGGGGAGGGAGAUGAAUCUAGUGAGAUAUAUUAAUUGUUUUUUCCCCCUCUUGUAUACUUGGAUAACUUUUGAGAUCAGUUUUCUCAGACUAGCAGCUCUCAAGACUUUUGCAUAAGUAUUUAUUCUUAAAGAAAUAGAAAGACAAGAUAAGCACGGCUCUUAAGGGCAGGUCCUCCAAUAAGUCAGGAAACGGGUGAUCCAAACUUGUGAACAUGACAAGUCAAUUUGACUUAAUUAAGGAAUGGCAUUAGUUUUCUUGAAGCACAUGAAUUUAUAGGUUUUUAGAGUCUUGAAGACAGAAAAAUGGCAACAAAGCAUUAAGGUAUUUACAGAUAAUUUAUAUUCAACUGCUAGCUUAUGUUUUCAACUCUGUAUUUCAUGUAAGUAAAUACUUGGGGAGAACAUGAUGAUUUAAUAAUCUGGAUAAAUACUGCCGUGCCUGUUGGAAAAAAGCCUCUAAUUUUUAGGUUUUCCUCAUCCAUUUAAAAUCCAUUGUUUUGAAUGACAAAAUGUGAUAGAAACAGGUUGGAACAGUAAAUGCUAGAAAGUAUAUCCCAGAAGAAUUAACUGAGAACUUCAUGUUUUCAAUUCUAUUUGCCGUUCUCUGUUCUCAAUUUGUUAAUUUUUAAAAGUACAUCGAAAGUGAGUAGCAUUGCUUGCUCUGAAUUCUCCUCUGGGGUCAUUGAGAGUAUUCACAUUUUCGUAUACCCUGUUAAAAGAUAUUAAUGCCAUGCAUAUGCCUUUGUCUUUGUGGGUGUGUAAAACAACAAACUGAAGGGAUCUGGUCAAGAGACAGACCUCAAAAUAAUUUCUCUGAAAUAGUGUUUGAAUUUGCAUGUUCGGGAACGUAAAUGCUUUCCCUUUGGGCUUGUUUCUUAAGUUUUUGGUGUAGUAUACAGUUUUACCCAAUUAAAUUUUUCUUUUGAGGUCUGUAUAUGUAUGGGUGUCUAUAUUUGAUUUGAAGGGGGAGUUUUAAUCAUUAGUGAAACAAGUGGCUGUUUGUUAGAACCCAGAUAAGCCUCAUAGUGUUGUUCCUAUGACAACUGAGUAGUUGGGUGUUGAAAUGUAGCUUUAAGUUCUUGGUUUGGAAAUGUCAUUCAGACCUCCCACUAUAGUCUCAUUGAGUAGGAGGAUAAUGAGAAGGGGAAAAACCAUGAAGCAACAUAAGUAUCUCCGUUCGUUUCAUGUCUUCCUGACUUGUCUUUGUGUACAGGAUCGCCAUGGGAGUGGUAAACAUAGGUCUUGAACAAAGCAAUACUUCAAUUAAAAAAAUACAUGGAAAGGGUCAGAAAAGUUGGGGAAGAUAAAUAACAACACAUGGGGGCAAUAAAGAGGCAAGAGAAAUAGGCUUCCAUGGGUUUCUGCAAAUCCUUUAUCCAGUGCUGACCAGCAGUGAGAACAUCUUGAACCAGUUAUUGUAUAGCUCUUCAAGAGCUGUGAAUUUCCUUAAAAUGCAAUGUGGAGAAAAUUCCUUUGGUAGCAGGAUGGUUUACCACUUUGGCAUAACGUUUAUUCAUCUCCCCCAGGCAGACUACAGAGGAUACUGUGUUCUUUUAAGGCACAUGUUUUUAAACCAGUUGUUCAUUUGUCAUUUAAUAGCUUUUGUCUUUUUUCUAUGGGAAAGACAAGGUUGUACUAUUAAAAUAGUGAUAAAAUUUAAGUAUUUUAUUCUAUAUUCAAAAAGUGCUUUUGAAAAGUACUUAGAAAAAGAUUGUUUGAGACCUGUUGUUUGUGGAAAUGUCUGUCAAUGGAGAAUCUAUGGAGCACUGUAUUUGAGGAGAGGGAUUGUUCAGACUAAUAUUUGGCAUAGCUUAAUUAUGCAGUUGUUGAUUUUCCAUGUCUGAAGGUCUUCCUAUUUCCUACUCCUAAAUAGUUUUAACUAUUUAUUUGGUUGCUAGAACCUCCUGAAGUUAGAAAGAAAAAGAUUUCAGUGGGGUUAGUCUCUUAAUAAAUAUAUGCCCACCAUCUCUUCUGUAAUCCAAAAAGCUCUGAAAAUCAAAAGAUUUUCAUGUAACAAAUUUGGCAGCAAAUCCUGACCUGAACUGAUGUGAAGCUAAUGAUAGUCUUUGUUUAGCUCGCUCAGAAUGAAUCUUUGUAUGUUUUACUGUAGAAGUAUUAAUGUGUUUGAUCACGGAGUAUUGUUCCAGACUCCCCUAGAGGUUUAUAUACUAUAUUGAAUAGUCAACCUAUUACCUUUAUAAAAUAAUAAUAAUAAUCAAUCUGAGUGUCAGGUAAGCAUUUGUGGACCCAUAAUUACUGACAUACAUUGAGUUCAUAUUAUAUGCCGGGUACCAUUCUAAAUGAAUCACUGGCAUCUAAGAACAGUGUCUGGCACAUAGUAGGUACUUAGUAGACACGUUUUGGUAGGAACUGCUUUACACUUAUUAAAUUCUUUAACUCACAAAAACAGUAUACAGGAAGUAGCGGAGCCAAGAUUUGAAAGCAGACAGUCUAGCUCCAAUCUGCUCUUAAUGAUUCUGAUGCAGGUACAAGAGAGGACUGGAGAUGUGGCACUGGACUUCUUAACUGAGUCAGAGGGGGUGUUUGAGUGAUUUACUUUAUUCAUAGUCACCCUAUACCUCCUACGAUCAAGAGCUGGUGGUAUCACCACUAUGGUCAUUAGCCGGGGCUGUGGUUGAAUGCUUAUAACAGGUUCUCCUGGGUGGGAGUGUAGGAAUUCCAGGGGUCUGAACUCUCCUCACAGGCUUCCCAAGGUGAUCUCCAUCAGUAAAUCAGCCCGACUUUUUCAUCUUGAAAAAUUAAGACAUAGGAAAUAACUCUUUCCUUAACCCUAAGGAAGUUUCCUUGAACAGUGGGAAAAACGUUUUUGUAGACAUUCCUUAGACCCCUUACCCAGCAGGAGGUGUGGAAUCAAUAAAGAGGGCAUGGGUCACCUCCAAGGUUGUGAGCUCCCUGGCUUGGGAACUACACUGGGACACAGCAGAGCCUCUUGGCAGAAAUCAGGCAGCCCAUGGAGCUUCAGCUGCAUGACUCUUUGAAUUCACAAAAGGAUACCUUUAACAGUACUUCUCAAAAAAUGUAUAUAAGGCAUGUCUCAAGUCCCUAUAUGUUUCUAGGGAUAAAAAAAUUCAUUUCAAACUGAUGGCAACCUCCCCAUUCUAUUCCCCAGCUUUCUAUCCUUCUUCCUGCUUAAUUUUUCUUCUUAGCACUUGCCUCUGUCUGACAUAUUGUAUGUCUUACUUAUUUAUUCAUUUGACAUUUUAAUUAGACACUAGCAGUAUUGUUUUCUUUGAAUACAUUUAAAGGUCCUAGAUUUAUUUCUUUUUGAUGCUCAUCUUCUAACUCAUUCCCUCCUAUCAAUCUCAGACUGCUGUAAAUAAAUGAUUUUUUGCCUUUUUUUUUUUUUUUUACUAUUAGUUAUCAUAUUUAUUUUUCUUAAACAAGCUGUACUGGUUAUACAGUCUGAAUUUGGAGAAUAGACGUCUUCAUUCAGGAGGGGAAAUUGAGCCAAGUUUGAAUAUAAUCAUUGGGUAACAAAUCCAGAAGAUUAAGUUACUAAGGAGAACAUGCAAAGUAAACACUUGCAUUUUAUGAACUACCUUCAAUUUAAAUAGACAACUGGGUAACUGUAUAUGACAUGUUUUGGGAGUAAGACCUGUUAAACCUACCUACUUCCUACUGUUUUCAUUUGAAAAAUAAAUCAAUUAUUAAACAGUUAUUCUACACAUUAAAGACUGUAAGUGAUUUAACCUUGAAUAUUUCCUGACUCAAGUUCUUAAAAUCCUCAACUCUAACCUCUUGUUUUUCAACCCCAUAUUUAUUCUAGUUUAUUCUUUCCAACAUAUUUAGGGCAAUCUAAAACAUAAAGUAAAAAAACCCCCACAUAUAUUAUUAACUAUAAACAAUGUGGUUAUGUAAAUGCAUCAUUUUAGUUGAUCUUUUUUCUUUAGCCUAGUUCUUUUUUUCUUUUCUUUUCUCUCUCUUUUUUUUUUUUUUUUUUUUUUUUUUGAGACAGAGUCUUGCACUGUCACCCGGCCUGGAGUGCAAUGGUGUGACCUUGGCUCACUGAAACCUCCACCUCCUGGGUUCACGUGAUUCUCCUGCCUCAGCCUCCCGAGUAGCUGGGAUUACAGGCACACACUGCCACGCCCGGCUAAUUUUUUUUUAUUUUUUAUUUAUUUAUUUUUUAUUUUUAGUAGAGACGGGGUUUCACUAUGUUGGCCAGGCUGGUCUUGAACUCCUGACCUUGUGAUCUGCCCGCCUCAGCCUCCCAAAGUGCUAGGAUUACAGGUGUGAGCCACCGCGCCUGGCCUAGACUAAUUCUUAAAGGAACAGAUUAGAUACAUACAAAAGUUGAAUUUAGUAUGCUUUUGUAAGUUAAUAUAAUGAUUGGGACAUUUUGUUUUCUUAGCUAUGCUUUAUAACAAAAUAGUUCUAGUUACUUUCUUUUAAAUGGUUACUAAAGUAAUAACUUGCUUUUUAAAAACAUAGUAUAACUAUUUAAGGUAGACUAUGAAGAGUAGGCUGAGGUUUCAUUUUAAAUUAUCUCCUCUUUCUGCCAUGGAAGAGUUUAAUUCCCCUGAUGUGCUUAUGGUAUUGAAAGCCCAUUGUUGGUGUUGGUAUUGAAAGAAAGCUUAGUUUUUCUGCGUUUCCUAAAAGGAGAGGGAAGAAAGAUUUUUAAAAGUGAAAAUCCAUUGAUUUUUUUUUUUCUUGAUUAGGAUUUGUAUAAUAUAUCUGAAGUGAGACUAGAGUUCUUAAAGUUGAGAGAAACAGUAAAUAUGUACACGCCCGGCAAAACUUUGCAGGGAACAUUCAGAGUUCGGAUUACCUGAAAAAAAUCUUGAAAGCUUCAGACAUUUUCCAGAGAGUGUUAGUGCGUGAAAGUGGUACCCAUGACCCCAAGAGGGUGUCCAUUCACAGCCUCCAUUGAAGUAGUUUACUCCCUAAGAGGCCCAGGCUUUGGAAAUAAGUAGAUUUGUGCUUUAAGCUCCCUUUGCCCCUUGCUAGCUGAGUAAGCUACUCCGCUAUUUCCCUGAGCCCCAGAGUGUAGAGCAUCAGAAGUAGUGCACAGGUUUGUUGUGUGAGAUAACACAUGUAAAGCACAUGCUGUGGGACCUGGAGUAAUGGUGCUUAACACACUUGCAUUCCCUUCCAAAAUCCCUUUAGGAACAGACUUCUUCAGUUUAGUCCUAAAGCCUGUAGAUCCAUGCUAAGUGAUAUGACUUUUUUUCACAUCAGAUUAAGCAAAACACUGAUGAUGGUGACUGUCGCUUAUUGUGCAGUUACCAUGUUCUGGACAGGCACUGUUGUAAGGGCUCUACCUGCAUCGACCCAUUUUUCCUCAUGACAAACUAUUGGUGCAAUUAUCAUGCCCAUUUCAUAGAUGAACACACAGAGGCACAGAGAGGUAAAGGAACUUACUUAGGGCCACUCAUCUGUCAUGGAACCAGAAUCUAAAUCCAAAUAGGCUGUUGCCAGUACAGAUGGUAAGUACAUGUACUUCUGGCAGGAAAGCAGAAUAAAAGUUGACUGAACCUGAAAGUCUCGGAAAUGGUCUUCUCAUUUCUAUUCUGUAAAGUGUCACGUCUUCUAGGCCUACCUCUGUCAAUAUUGAAAUACAAAAUUAACUUUUUCUGCUUUUUAUUUCACAAAUCAACGGGAACAGUCUUAGUCAUUUGUGUUUUAUGAGUUUUAAUUAGGCCACUGCAGUCCAGGAGGGGAAUUCCUUGUUUUCAGUUGAUCUCAUAUACUAACAAGUUUAAUCAUGUAACUUCCCCUAUUUUUUUCUCUAAUGUUUUCACUUGAAAGUGGGGGUGGGAGGGAGAAGUAUGUUAGCAUUUGAGUCCUAGGGAUGCACUUACAUCAACCUUUCUGGAAAUUCCUUCUUGCUGGUAUAGAACUAAUCCAUAGAAAAAUGAAAUGUGUAAGAAUCUGUAUUUACUAAUAUUUUUCUUCUUUAUCUCCAUCUAGUUCUGGAUAUUUUCUGGAGGAUGGGGUAAAACUUCUAGAUAAAGAAGUACAGGAAGCCAUCUAUGUGCAUAAAACCUUAUGUUUGGGUGUGGACUUAAUUUUCAGAAUAUGGGAAAGGGGUUUCACAUUGAGAAUUUCCUCUUUCUGAUGUAGAUUGAGAAUUUUGACUUAGAAGAUGAGGGCAUGUUAUCCUAGCCCGUGGGUUCAGAGUGCUUGGAAGUCUCUUUAAAAAAAAAAAAAAAUCCCCUGGCCUUGGACUGAGCCUGCUCUUGGAGGAUUUAUUAAUCAUGCCGGCCUUCAUUCUUUCCUUUGUUUGUUCAUUCCUUCAUUUGUCCAUACUCUCGCAUAAGUCAUUCAACAUCUACCUGCAAAUAGGUGAAAGAAAGGAUGGGAGUGAGAGUCCAUCAGGGGACGGGAGAGGAGAAGCAAUAAACUCACUCUAUGUUCCUUUCACCUCACUGACUGCAUCUUGUAUCUGAUUGUUUGUCCCUUUGGAGACAACGUAUAUUUCACAGACAGACACUCACAACACUCAUGAAGGUCUUUAAGCAUCUUCCUUUGGGAGCUGCAUUUCUUUUUUUAAAGUGAGAGGAGAAAAUGCUUGUGAGGGAAAAACAGUGCAGAGAAAUGGUUUUUCUUUCUUUCUUUUUAAUGUUGGCGGAAGAAGGGUUCAUAGUAGGGAACGUAUCAGUAAAUAUAAUCUAAGAGCACUCAUGCUUUCAAAUAAUUUCCUUGUUUAAAGAUAUUAAGUGCAGUAGCGUUUACAAUUAAUGAUCACAACCAGUUACAGAUUGCUUUGUUCUUUCUCUACUCCUGCUGCUUCACCUGCCUACGCUUAUAAUAAAAGAACAUUAAGAGACAACAAAGGCCAUCACAAAGAUGUCUUCAAAAAUAAUUUUAAAAUAGAAUUUUAAUUAAUUUAAAGGUAAGAAGUGUUGCCAUGCCCUCAAUCAAAUUUAUUAUGACUUUUUGAAAAUAUCUCUAAGUAAAUAUAUAGAAAAUGAGGAAUGAACAUAGGGGAGGGCUUUUGGAAUUUAUACUACUAUUCUUUCAAAAAAUAUUACUCGUCUCCAUGUUGCAGUUAGGAAUACGCUUCCUUAAGACAGAGUCAUUAUCUUUACUUGUUAUUUAAAUCUUGAUAUCACCUCCUAUAGUUUUUGAAAGACAUCACUCUUCAAGUUGUCUUCAAUGGCACAAACUAUACCUGUGCAUUUUCUGAAACAAGUUUGACCAUACCAGCAAAGGCAAUGAAAAUGCUUUGUCUUUCAGCAUGAAAUGUGAAGUCUACAUUAUUAGUGGGUAUAUAUGGCCCAAGGGAAGAAAAUGUUGAAGUAGAUUUAAAAACAAAAACAAAAUCACUCACACUCUAAAAGAAUGUCUCAGUAUUUCAAGGCUCUUCUCUCUCUCUGUGUUAAAACCAAUAAGGAGGCCUCAGGACAAGUUAGGUUGAUAAUGACAGUGAAUAUCUACCUUUCUCCCCAUUCCGUUUGACAUCCAUACUCCAAAAGACCUUCCCUUAUUUGCUAUGCAUGGGUAGCAGGGAGAUUAUAGAGAAACUGUUCUUUUUCCUGCUUUCUUUUUUUACUGCUGGGGGAGUGAUCACUUUCCUACAGCUCUUGUCCACCUGGCCCUUGAGGCGUUUGGAGUUUUGGUAAGGUGUUAACAAAAAUUGUCUCAGGUGCCAACUAAAUUUCAUAAGCUUAUAGCAGCACAACAGACUAAGACACCACAUGGGAAAUGUACAUUUUACAAAAAUAUAUUAUACAUCUACCAUGUCUACCAUGUGCCUUAGAGAGUUCUGGGUCUGGUAAUACAGCAGUGAAUAAAGUCCCCGCUCACAUGGAGCGGGUAGGCUGAUGGUGAUGGAACUCAUAAGUAUACGGCAGGUGUUAGUAAACACUGCGGAGAAAAAUAAAGCUGUGUCAGAGAGAGAGUACCUGGGGAUCAGGGGUAGAGCGACGUUAACCAGGGCUAAUAGGAAGGCCUCUUUGAUGUUAUUAGGCCAGUGAGGAAUCAGCUGUGGGAGUGUCUGGAGGAAGAGGAUUCCAGGCAGAGAAAAUAAAAAAGUAACUGCAGUAGAGACGGGAGCAGGCUUUGUGUGUCCAAGAGACACAUCAUGGCAGAUCAGGUAGGACUCUGUUGGCCACAGUAAGAAGCUGUUUGGAAGGUAGGAAAUGAUAACUAGAGAGAGUGAAGAUGGUAUUCUGAGAGUCUAUGUGAUUUAUUGUAGGGAUCCCGGAGAGUCGAGCCCCUUGUGCCUCAUAACUGGAGUGUUUACAAGCCGUGUAAGGCCUUCUUGCAGUAAAAUGCUACUUUUGUAAUUUAAAUUAUUAUGCUAUGAAAACCUUAGCAAAGAUAGAUAAAGUUGAACUAUUUGAAGCACAAUUACAGCUAAAAAGCGCAAAGUGGGCAAUUCUUCCUAUCACAUCUACUCCUCAGAGAGAUGUGGGGUACCUGAAUGUCUAACUGUGGAAUGUUUUGAUUUGAUUUAAAUUUGCCAAAAACUCAUCUUCCAUAAGGCAUAUCUUUGCUGAUUUUUGCACUCAGUAACAAGCAGUUUAGAAUUUUGAACUGAAGGGAUUUUAAAUCCAUGUUUAAAGUGCUUUCAUUUUAAAAUAAUUCUUAGUUUUAUGUUCAGUCAGAUGAUAAGCUCCUUUUUAAAAUUCUGUAUGAAAACUUACUGUUUGGUACAGGUUAAGAAGUCUUGUUAUACAGUACUUAUUUUAUUGGAGGUACAAAGAGAGUGUGGAAAAAUAAAGGCAAUUGGCCAGGUGGGAAGGGUAAAAUUGUUUUAUGUACCUUUUCUCUUGUAAAGUUGUGUUAAAAACAUUUUUGUAAUUUCUUAAAGGUAGAGUUGAUUGCCAUAAUUUGAUUGCAGCCCCCUGUCAUUACUUCACUAUUAUACUCGGAUACUAAAUGCCCCUUACUAAAUCUAAGGAAAUGGGCAAGUUCUGUCAUCUGGGAGUUUACAUGUUAAGAGACAUUGCACGGGUGAGAACAGACAUAAAAUGUAUAUGUAAUUAUAUCGACAACAUACAGGGCUUAGAAAGGGGCUUGAUAGCCUUUUAUAGGUGUCGUCCAGGUUUAUCUUACUUGAAAUACUGCCUGAGACUCUAUACCUAAUUCUUAUCACAUAGCCUUUCUAUUAGUCAAUGAUAGAUUUGGGUUGGGUUAACCCUCAUAUUCUUUUAGCAAGGGACCCACCUGCAGAAAAGAGUUAUUAUUGGUUUUGUCAUUUAUAGUUUAGUUCAACAAGACCGGAUUUCCUCACCGCCUUUGGCUGAAACUGACUGACUAAAUCAGUUUCACUUGUGGGGUAGAGAAAUGAGUAAUUUGGGAACAUAGAGUGUUGUGUGGAGGAGAGCUUAGUUUGCUCCUCUUCAUCCUCCCCUUAGGUAAGAAGUCUGCAUUGAGAGAGGGAGAAAGAUUUGGGACAUCAUGGGGAAACUGACCCCCUUGGGUGAGACACAUUGGGAAUUAAGAGAAAGAUGUAAAAAUGGACCAGGAGAGGAUGUACAGAAGCCCCAGGGGAGCCAGAGAAUUUCUGGUCCUAAGCUCAAGUGUCAGCCUCAGUUCUGCCUAGCAUCUUGGACAUGCUGUCCCUGCUGGCUUAUCUCCUGUAAGACAAGGGGCAUACUCCUGACUUACUGAGCAUCCCAUCUCAGAGGAGCUGGGAGUACAAGGAAUUCAGGAAUGGACUUUCAAGACAACAUCUAACCCGAGUCUUCUGCAGACAUUUCUCUACUGAAUCUACUUUCUAAGUGUAGAUUAGUGUCUAAGAGAUAGACAUUAAGUUUCUUUUUCUACCAGCCUCUGACCCCCUUGCUUUGAGGAAAACACAUGUGUUGUCCACGAAGUGGUGAGUUCUGUUUGGUCCUUCCUCUAAGAUUGGUCCGGGGCUUGAGCCGUUUUGCCCCAUGUGCUCUGGGAUUUCCCCCGGUUGUCCCCCCAUAUAAGUAGACAACUUGCUGUCUGUGUUCUAAGACCUUCAUAUUUUUCCCUUUGACUUGAGUCUGUUCUGGAACAAUUGUGUGGUGGCUGGGCACUGCAAAAUGAGUCAGUUCCUGCAGUUUGGUUACAAGUUCUCAAAAAGUAUUUCAGAAUGUGGAUGUGGUCAGCAGAGUCAUUUUCCAGACAUCUAAAAGGAAACCCACAUCAACUGUAACAAUUGAGCUACGAACCGAUGGCUCUACACAACCGAAUGGGGCCUGCUUUUCCUCAAAGCCUGUAGGUGCCCUCAAAUCUAGCAUUCUCUAUGGAUCGGAAAGGAGAAUUCAUCUUCAUGCUUGUAGAUCACAUUUUAUCUGUUACUGUUGACAUAAAAAAAUGCGAUAGAGGUUUUGGCCUUCAUCACCUUUUGAAUGUGGGCACAAAUUUGACAUAAGAAAUAAUUAGUAAAAUGGAAUCUAUGGGAUUAGAGUAUAAUUAGUGCAAAGUGUGAAAUGUGGCUUAGGGAUAGAUGCUUGGGUAAUUGAACUAAUGCACGAAGGAGAGGUUAAGAUGGUUUGGGUACCGAUAGAGUACAUCGAAAUAUGCUUAUUUGGUUUACUAAUAGUCUGAACCUGUGCAGACUUAGCAGCAAUACUGAUAAAAUAUCAUUAAAUCCUUUUCAAGCUUUAAAAGAAGUUCAGAUUUGUCAUAACAUUUGGAGAAUAUUUUCGCUCCACACAAGUUUUGGAAAAUAAUCUUUGUGAAUUUUUUUAUCCUCUUGGGUAUCAUGAAUUGUAAAAUUUUGUUGCAGUUCUCAGUUACCAGUCUUGCUCCACUCAUUAAAACUGAUGGCAUUUUCAAUAAUAAGAAAACAAAAUUUAAAAAUGGGUAAACGAUUUGAACAGACACUUCACCACAGAAGAUACGCAAAUGGCAGAUAAGCACAAGAAAAAAUCUUUUCAAUGUCAUUAGUGAAACACAAGUCAAAACCACAGUGAGGUACUGCUACACACCUAUCUGAAUGGCUAAAAUUUAAGAAGCCAGCCAUGCCAACUGUUGGUAAGGAUGUGUAGGAUUUAGAACUCUCAUGUAAAAUGAUACAAACAUGUCAAACAUACACCUAUCAUAUGAUUCAGCUGUUUCACUCCCAGAGAAAAGAAAGCAUGUGCUCACCUGAAGACUCGUACGUGAAUAUGCAUAGUAGUUUUAUUAGUAAUAGCUAAAAGCUGGAAACAAUCCUAAUGUCUAUCAACAGGUAAAUGGAUAAACAAAUUGUGGUGUAUCUGUAUGAUGGAUACUACUCAAUAAUAAGAAGGAAUGAACUAUUGAUACCUUCAAUAACAUGGAUGACCCUAACCCAUGAGAGUCAUAUCAUAUGAUUCCAUGUAUACAGAAUUCUGGAAAAUGUGAAAGCAGAUCAGUGGUUACCUGGGGUAGGGGAGAUGGGGGUGGCAAGAAAGGGGUUACAAAAAGGCCCGAGAAAACUUCCGGGCUGGUGGAUAAUUUCUGUCUUGUGUUGAUGGUUUCAUGGGUGUAUAUAUGUCAAAACUUAUCAAAUUAUACAAUUUGAAUAUGUGCAGUUUAUCGUAUGUCAGUUAUUCCUUAAUUCUUAAAAAAAACUUAAAAUAAGAAAUCAUUGUUAUAGUAGAUGGAAGGCUUUAAAAUGCCCUUAUUUGGCAAAAUCAGCAUUUCUUGGGGGGAGGGGGGAACCUGAUAGAGUUUUAAUGGUUUGAGGACAGAAAUACGACCUUCUAGUACAGAUGAGAAACCAAAGUUAAACAGUGAACAUAAUAAAUGGGAUCUCUUUAGUCCCUUUUGUUUACAAAGCAUUUGAACAAGUGGUUCAGGAAGUAUCUUUUCCAGCAUGGUGGUUCCAGCUGCCUGCCCGACUUCUAAGCAUUAGCACUUAAACAAACUUACUGUAGCAGUCUACCGUGCAAUGUGGCUAAGACAUCCAAAGUUGCUGUGUUCAGAUUGCAAAGAUAAGACAUGAAAAUCCCCACUUUCAGAUUCUAUCAUUGUUGGAGAAAUAAAUCUCUCAUAUUUACACAGUGCAUGAAAAUUUAUGUAUUUCCAGCUGUAUUGAGGUAUAAUUGACAAAUAAAUUGUAUAUAUUCACAGUGUGCAAUAUGAUGUUUUGGUAUAUGUAUACAUUGUGAAAGGAUUACCACAAUCAAGCUAAUUAGCGUAUGUAUCACCUCACAUAGUUAUCUUUUGUGGUGAGAACGUUUUAAGAUUUUUCUCUCUUAGCAAAUUUCAGGUAUAUGAUGUAGAAUUAUUAACUAUAAAGUAUUUUCAUAAACCUCAUCCUGUGAAAUCCUUUCAAUGGUCCUAUUACAGGUAGGAUCAGUAUUAUCCUCGUUUGCUUUGGCAGCAAACUGAGACCCAGAGAAGCCAAGCUACUUGGCCAGGAAUACAGAGCCCCCAUCUUCUUGCUCAGAAAUCACCAUUCUAACUACUACACUUUGCUUCUUCCUCAAACUAUUGUCAUUGAGUGUUUGGCUAAGACUCUUCACUCACCAAUUUGUCAGGUAGUUAUUAGAGUUCCUUUUUAAAAAUAUGAGAUGUUCAAGAUGAUAAUUCCCUCUAAUCCUCUGUUUCCCCGUUUCUAAAUGGGUAAUAACACAGCCACCAGCUUCCCAAGUUUGUGACCCUUACACGUGGAAGAGUCAUGAAAAGUGGGCAACUCUGUGUACCCAGUGGGUGUUGAUGUUACUGUGUGACUGCCCUCUUUGUUCCUGGGUUACUGAUCACACAGUACUGAGUGGCUUUGCAAACCCAACAGGGAGACAUAGCAGUUUAGUUAACAUUAGUUGCCCUAUAGCUUCCUUCAGAAUUGGAAAGUUGCACAAUAAGAAAUCCUAUGUACUGGAUUAUUUUAAAUUCUUCUUUAAAGGACACUAAACCAUCAUUAGUUGGGUCCCAGAGACUCACCAAACAGAGCUUAGAGGCAGAUACCAUUGAGGUUUACUUAGCUAACAAGAUUGACCCAUGUCUGGCAUCCUCCUUUUCUCCUUGGUUGUGUUGCCUGUACAUCUCUCCUCCUUAUUCUUCAUCAUUUUCGAUGGCCUUCUCUCUUCACUAGCCCUCUAACACACUUUAGAAAAUGUUUUGUUUUUUUUUUAAAUAACUAUUUGAUGUAUUGGCAAAAUGAGCAGUUUUCCUGAGAGUUCUCUGUCUGUCCCGACUGGCACUUCUUUUUUUUUUUUUUUUUUUUCUUUUUUCAUAUAUUGAUUUCUUUUAAAUUAAAUUAAAUUUUUUAAAAUUUCUGUUGGUUUUGGGGGAACAGGUGGUGUUUGGUUACAUGAGUAAGUUUUUCAGUGGUGAUUUGUGAGAUUUGGGUGUACCCAUCACCCGAGCAGUAUACACUGUACCCAAUUUUUAGUUUUUUUUUUUUUUGAGACAAGUCUCACUCUGUCACCCAGGCAGGAGUGCAGGGGUGCAAUCUCGGCUCACUGCAAGCUCCGCCUCCCGGGUUCAUGCCAUUCUCCUGCCUCAGCCUCCUGAGUAGCUGGGACUACAGGCACCCGCCACCACACUCGGCUAAUUUUUUGUAUUUUUAGUAGAGACGGGGUUUCACCGUGUUAACCAGGAUGGUCUCGAGCUCCUGACCUUGUGAUCCGCCCACCUUGUCCUCCCAAAGUGCUGGGAUUACAGGCGUGAGCCACCACGCGCAGCCCCAAUUUGUAGUAUUUUAUCCCUCACCCGCCUCCCACCCUUUCCCCGAAGUCUCCAAAGUCCAUUGUAUCAUUCUGGCACCUCUAAAACCAGACAUGAUUUGUUUUCUUGACUUCGGCUUGAGAGUUCCAAUUUCUAACUCUAAUGGACUUUAAUCUUAGAAAAUCAGGGGAUAUAAUCAUAUGGUAGUGCAAAGAGUAUCAAAUUUUGUCUAAGGAUGACAAUCAAAGGGAGCCCUAUUUUUUUGUUUUGUUUUUCAUCAAAUCCUCGAAUUUAUUCCAUCCCUAAUUCCGUGGUCCUUCAUGGCAUUCAUAGGGGCAGCUGUGAAGAAAAGUGGUAAUGUACCUGACGACUCUCUCCUGUCGGUGUCAGGGUUGCAUUUACUAUUACUGAUCCCAGUAAUAGGAUGAGUUUGAUCUCUCAGCAUGAAAAGAAUGACCAUAUUAGGGAUUUGUUUGUUCUCCAGACUACAGAAAGUUUGAUAACCAGAGUAGGACUUACUGGAGAGAUAAUGUCAGAAUGAAUAGAGACUGUCUGUGAGAAAUUUGAACGGGCUCAGUGCUGUUACCUACUAGCUAGAAAUGGGAAGCAAGGGGAUGAAUGUGAGGUUGGGGGCAUUGAGUCAAGAAGAAGAUCAGGCAAUUCUGGAGCUAGGUAAAUUGGGAUCAUUCCUGGCUUGUCACAUCUACGUGGGACAUUUAGACUAUCCACGGGCUGGAUACCUUAGGAAAGUUCCUUCUGGCUCUGGGACUCACUGCUCUUUCAGCAUUGCCAAUUUACAUCUAGUGUGUUCUUGUUAGAAGUGGAAGGCUCCUCUUCAUUUUUGAGCUCCUUGCGCCCUGUCAUUUUCUCUGUAUGAGAGGGUUUUGCUAUUCCUUUUUGAGUGAAAACGACUCCCAUAGCAUAUUGCCAUUCACACUCCACCAGGUCUCCCCUUCACACACACACACACACACACACACACACACACACACACACACACCAUUCUCUUGUCCUCCCUGAGCCAGUCCUUUCAAGGUUAUAUCAUCCUUUAGUGCCAAGUACCUCCCCUGACCUCUUUCUUCACUCAUAGAAAGAGGAACCAGAUUUCCCCUGUGUGACUGCCAUCAAUACAAACAGCAGUUUUGUUUCUGUUAUUUCCCCUUUCAACCUAGUGAUAAAGUUUGCUGCUGCUGCUCUCCCCACCCCGCACAGGAAGAAAGACUUCCUUCCUUCAUCUCUUGACUUUGCCCAGGCCUAUGAAUAAUCUUCGCUUUGUCAUGGACUCCGGAUGCUCACCUUUUCUAACAUUUUUUUUAAACCUCCAAGAGUUACUCCUCAGCCUCCUUCCCUUCCCCACCUUCUGGUUUUCCCUACCUGGUAAACUUCUUAUUCUACCUAGUUAAUAAUAGUGGGCGCCCAUGAAGCUCUUGCCUCAUUGAUGAGUAUCUGGGCAUUGGGCUUCCCUAUGUCCAUUUUCUCUUCUGGUGUAUUGACUGACGUCUCUCUCCCUGGCUCUUUUCUCACUUGCGGUGGUGCUCCCUCUUCAAUAUCCUGCUUCCUUUUUACAUUCCAGACUGUCAUGUUGUAGACCAUCUCCAAUUGUAAGCUGAGUGCUUGAUAUUUUGCCAUUUUCCUCUUUGUUAGUGUUUUGAAUCCUAAUUUUUAAUCUGAUUUUUAAUUAUAUUGAUGUUGUUUUUCUAGAUACUUAUAUUUUGCUCUAUAGAACUGUCCAUACGUUGUCAAAAAACCUUCCACUGUCAGCACAAAUACAGUCCAGCAUCAACCAAUAAGGAGAGAAGAAGGGGUAGAAGGAUGCUGUUGUGCUAUUAUCAAGGCUUUGCAUGGUCCUUGGGGUGUACCGAGUUAUUUCCUCCAAAACAGUUGAGGUUUCCUUACAACCUGUUGAAGAACUGAUCACACGUCCACUGUGUGGCAGCCACUCUGGGAGCAAAUACUGGACUUGUAGGUUAGGUCUUUAUACUGUAGUCUUUCUUCGUAGUUUGAAAAUAUCUAUUUCCCCUCUUUCCCUUCGUUUAACACAUUUUAGAACAUUCUUUCUUUAAAAAUCUUAAUUAGCGUUUCCAUUUUCUCUUUGUUACACAAGUAGAAUCCAUGUUUUCAUCCUGUUCCUCUUUGCUGAAGUGUGUGUGUGUGUGUGUGUGUGUGUGUGUGUGUGUGUGUUUUGUACCUGAUAGGUCAUCAAAUAGCAUCUGCGGGAAAUACAUUUAGCCCUUCAUCAUUUAAAAAUCAUUUUUAUUAGUCUUUCCGAAUCUUCACACUUCUUCUGCUAACUAUCUUCCUUUCUCUUCCAUUGUGGUGUGAGCUAUUUAUAUAAGCCACUUAAUUUUAAAAGUCCACAUACUGUCAUAGAACUCAUAAUAAUUGAUACCUAAUGUGGUUGAGCUUCUGAUAACCAUCAUAAGCAAAAGAAACUGUAUAUAUGGAUGUUCUCUUUCUGGUCUUCCCUCAUUACCUGUUCAUUUGUCUUAGUUUUAUCAUUUUACUGGAGUAGAUUUUAUUUCCCUGAGGACCCUUCUGUGCUACAAACCUGUGAUGGUACACAAACACACUCUAAGACAGUGCUUUCACUAGUCCAUACUUCUGUUAAAAGGAACAUACACUCUUUUACAAAUAGCAUGAUCUUAUAAGCACCCACAAAUCUUACAGAAAGCUACCAUAAAACUAAGAGAGAAAGCAAGAAAUGUUUAAAGGAUGAAGAAAUACAAGAGUUUCCCUGAAUGGAGAUAGUCUUCCACUGUGUGUGUGUGUGUGUUUGUGUUUGUUGUUUUUUGAAAUGUAUCAGUAUAGGUGUCAGGCAUUUUACUGUCUAUUCACUCACAUUUCUUUAUUUGACAAAUAUUUACUAAAAGGUGACUAUGAUCUAGUGUACUAUGCUGGUACCUGGGGAAUCUCAAAAUUAUGGGACUGAUUCUUACCCUCAAAGAGCACAUAUUCUCACAGGGAGACACAUUUCUAAACAAAUUGAAGAGCAAUGUGUCUUGUGUUUCUGGCUGAGACCACAGACUCAGUGAUCUGGGAACCAGCCCCCAGUAGUAUGCAGCUAACUUUCCAGAGGAAUCCAGGAAGGUCCCUUAGCAUCCUAUAAGAGAGCUGGGCCUUGCAGGGAGGGAAGUGCUUGUCAGGCAGUGUUCAGAAGCCGAAUUUUGCUCCUCCAUCAGUCCAUCUGAGGAGAGGGAAACUUGAUGGGAAGAUUCAAGGAAGACGACACAAAGAAUUUUGUACCAUAAGAACAUUGUAUGACAAAAGAAGUUCUGUACAGUGCCAAAAGCAGAGGCUUGGUAGAGAUCUGAUUAUAAAUGAAGGUUGCAAUGGUAGACAUGUGCGAUGUUGAUGCCUUUAGAAAAUAGCACAAGGCUUAAAAAUGAGACCAAAUCCACAGAAAGGCCUCGGUAAUAGUAUAGAGUAGUAAUGGGUUAAUUGUCACUAAAUAAGUCUCUAAGUCAUGAAUUCUUGAGAGAACUGACUGGUUUUUCUGCUAUUCACAAGCUCAGAGAAGUUACUUUAUUUUGACGUCCUUCUUUUGUUUUUACUUAUCAUUGAUGGAAUGCAAAUUAUUUUCCUCUUUCUUUUAUUUAAAAACGACAAGAAUUCCUCACCAUCGUUGCACACUGCUGACAUUGUAUGUAGAGAAUGCCUUAGGGUUUUCUUCCAGAGUGUGGGGAGAGGGACAAAGAGAGAUAUAUAUGUACAUGGAUUUAGGGCAAUUAAUUUCUGAAACUUGUCCAUAAAAAGACUGUUUGUUACUUAGGUUAAAACUAUCCUUUUCCUCUGAGUGUUUGCAAUGAGUAAAAUGCUUCAUGUUUUCAUCUAUUGAUUGUUUAAAAAAUGUUGUUUUUCGUUGAGAAGGAUUAAAGGCAUGCACCUAAUUGUUAAAUAUUAGUUUUUAAAAAACUAGUCUGAGUCUGUCUUUAUGGGCUCUGAGUGGUUUCACCUUUAGAAGCUUGUUUUAGGAUCUUGUGCCAACCAGUCCCUUCUGAGGCCUGUUCAGACUAGAAUUAUCUGGCAGGGGCAAUGUCUUUUAAAAAAAUGUCUUCAGCAGGAACGUCCCAGAGAAUGUUCACCUCAGUCUUCAAGUUGGCUUGCGGAGCAAUUUACUAAAUAGAGAGAUGUGAGAAUCAAGUGACCAUCAGCUGGUAUAAAUGUUUUUGGUCAGUGUAGUCACAGGAUCUCAGGUAUGCAAGAGCUGGACGGGUUUCAACCACGUGCCCGGUUAUGGUGAUACCCUGGCUCAGUUGCUCUAACAUAACAUAACACAGAAGGAAUCCAAGUUCAUAAGAACAUACUUUAAUUAGACACCUGUAUUUAAAAGGCUGAUUUCUCCUCUAGCAUAAUUUCACCCUGUGGCGCACUGUGUAUACAUGGGUGCAUUUCUUCCCUGGCCUACAGUUAGAGUUAAUUGGACUUUUUGUUCUUAACGGUGUGGGAGGCAGCUUUUUUUAAAAAAAAAAACAGCUUUAUUGAAGUAUAAUUGAUAAAGAACUGCACAUAUUUCAUGUGGAAAAUUUCAUGAGUUUGGAUAUAUGCAAACACCUGUGAUACCAUCACCAUAAUCAAGGUAAUGGAUGUAUUCAACAUCUCUCAAAGUUUCAUUGUAUCCCUUUGGUUUUGUGUCUGUGUUUGUGUAUAUGUUAAGAAUCACUUAACAUGAGAUAUACACUGUGGGUGGCAGUUUUUGUUCACUUCUAAAGUAAACUCUGACUUCAUUAGAAUAGUGGACUGGCUUAUGCUCUGUCAAAUCCCUAAACAUGAUUGUGAUAGAAUUUGACUCUAUUCCUAUUUAGUUACAGAAAACUACUGGUGCAUGAACAAAAAUAUGUGAAAUAUCAUGGAUGGGGUUUAGGGGGACAUGUGGGGCCAGACUUUGUGAGGUUAUAGAAAAUCAUGGAACUGGAAAGCAUCUGGAAGUUCUUUUACUCAAAGAAGCAUAGAUUCUUUCACAUUUGUGUUAAAAACAGUGAAUUAGACAAUUUUGACUUGGUAAAGUUAGCAUUCUGGCAAUGCUGUGAAAUCGUUCAUCUCUCUUCAUUUACUUCCACAUAUAGUCCCUAGGGUCAAAAUUUCUUUCUAAAAAUGAUAAUUUCUAAAGUCAGAGAUGCUUUUUGGGGGCAAAAUAGAAUUGUCCAGGUAAUCAGUUUAAAAGACAGAGUAAUUCUACUCUUCCUUCAGUAGAAUGACGCACGAAGCAGCAUUUCUUUCAUUUCCAGUAGAACUUUGAUGCGAAUGUGACUUUUAUCUCUCUCAGUGUAGCUUUAAACAUCAAUGGGUUUCUUUACUUCUUGGUUUGGUGUAUAGGUUGCCCCUGUUCUAACCGUGUGGAGUGUAAGCUCUUCAAAUUCUAGGUUAACAUUUCAAGAAAUGGUCUUUAUCCCAGUUCAAAGCAGGCCUUCCAACAGCAGGUGGCAGGCUUAACUUUUAAUAGUCUUUCCCUCCCUUUAAACUCUUUCUCAUACCUCAAAUAAAUGGUCUUUAGCCAGAAUGUAUGGGAGUUUUUGUUUAUUAUUAUUUUUGUUUUGUUUGUUUGCAGUGUGACUAGGACUUGAGCAGAAGUACCUUGGUUACAGUCCUAUCACUCACCCUUGGGGCUUAGUUGUCAUCUUAAUUGUUAGAUAACAGAAUUAUAUAACUCAACAUUUCUAGUUUGAACCUAUUUCUUUUCUUUUCCUUUUAUUUUUAAACUGAAAAUGCAUUAUUGGUUAAUAUUCUAUGGUGUUAUAUAUUCUACAUAUUCUAUUCUUUGUGUUUUUAAUAAACUUAAAACUGUAUAGUAUUGUUUAGUGGUUGACACUAAUUUACAGAAUAACCUUUAAUAAAAUUUUAUUUACAGAUUUUCCUAUUUGUAUUACCUAGAUUAAAUUUAAAACAAGGGGCAAAAGACCACCUUAACUUUAGUACUAAGAUGUGGAGAAUAGAUACCUUUGAGAAUUAAAAAUUUACCUUUUCUCAUCUAAAUGUAAAGAUUUAUAAAAGAUAAUCUUUUGUAUUUUGGCAUUGAAAGUGACCACACUAAACCCUUGCCUCACUUUAAUUGUUAGUCUUAUUCAUAAAAGUAGAGUUAUGAACAGUUAGUUUUAGUGGUUUAUGAAAUGUAAGUUUGUGUGUUCUACAAAUGCUUUAUUUUACAUUGAGGGUAAGACUUAGCCAAACCUAUAUAAACGGUCUUUUCCCCCACUUCAGUAUGUAUGCUCUGGUUUGUAGGCAGUGCCAAAAUAUACUUCAUAGAUGGGAUUGGCCUUAACUUAUUUAAAGAGAAAAAAAAGCAAGCAAUCAAAAAAACCCCUGCUUCACCUUGUAAAUUCCACCCUUAUCCUCCCCCACCAAGAGCUAACCACACUGGUGAAGCACUAUUACUAUAAUUUGGCAAGUGAGUUGCCUCUUAAAAUUAGACAUCUGUGAUUAAAUAGUUAAAUCAUUCCCUAGAUAUGUAUAUAUUUAGAGCUCCCAGAAAGCUGGUUAUCUUUUCUUAUAGCUAACACAUUUUUAAAAAGCCACUUUUCUCUUGGUGAUAAAUAUGUGUGUGUCAUACUGUGGUAUAGCUGCAUGUCCGAUCAAAUGGUACUAGUUUCCAAUUGACAGUAGCUUUAUUAAAUCUUUUCUAAGUGAUAGCUGAAGCAUUUUAAAUUCACAGCAAAGGAUUCUAAGACGUGUACUUGGAGAAAAGUUGCAUAGUCAUUUACCUUCUAGAAUAAUCCUAAAAGUAGGAAACAAUAAUUGGCCAUGUGGUCAUGUGCUAAUAAAAGAACACCUUGUCCAAGAUACCAGGCUUUUUCCUGUUUCAGUGCUUUUUGUUCUGACUCUUGCCUCUCCCUGUGGUGUCCUUUCCCACCCCAGGUAUGUACAUGAUUCUUCUCCUCCUACUUCAGGAAUCCACUCAAAUGCCAGGCCCUCAGUGAGGCUUUUCCUAGCCACCUUAUCGAAAAUAGCAUUCCUCUUAACUGUUUCAUUACUCUAUGAAAUGACCGUCCAUAUCUAUGGAGGUUUUUUUCAGUCUUUUUCUACCCUUUCCUUAAAUCUUAGACUUAAACUUCCGUGAGUGCAAGGAUUUUGUUCAGUGUUGCAUUCCCAGUGCCUGGAAUAAAGCACGCAGAAGUAUUUCAGUAAGGUACUGAAAGGUACUUAUUGAAGGUACUCAGUAAGUAUUUCUGGGGUGGAUAAAUGAAUAGCAAAGAGAACACCAAUCCUGUGACUUAUUUUGUUACCUUCAUUGUAUCAUGGGAGGAAAGCUUGGAACUGACAUGCUAGUGAGCACCUGCUUUGAAUAUUUAUUAUAAUAUGCAUUUUCUGUAAUUUUCUUUGGUGUUUGAGAUAUUUGGUAAAAUAACUGUAUUAUCCUCAGUUCGUAACACGAAAGAAUUUUUUAACUGCAAUUUACUUUACAUAUGUGCAUCAUUGCUAGAUUACCCAAGUUAAAGUGACAGGAAGCAACAAAAAUGCUCCAAGCCACAAUAAAAUGGUAGAUUGGUUUUUUGUUUGCUUGUUUGUUUUUCUCUUGUGUAUAUUUCCAUUUUACUGCAAAACAUACCAAAUAAUUGAUUGUAGAUUUUGUCACAAGGAAUCAUGUAUGCUGUAGAAGUAUAGAGAUUUUCCACUUUUUUUGUUUGCUGCUGGAUCUCCAGCACCUAAGAAAAUAUGUGGCACUUUAUUUAAUGUCACUCAGUCAGUAUCUGUUGGAUAAGUAAAUAAAUCCAGAGGUUGUUUAAAAUUACGUACAUGGGAAUAUUGUCAAAAUGUCAAUUCAUGAUCCAAAGAAAAUGUGCAAUUGAAAUCUGAUAUCUUCUUUUUUCUUCCACAGAGCCCCUCCCCAGAAGGCAAAGGAUCACCCAGCUGCUGGAAGGUGUAGGUACCCUCAAUGGCUCAGUAGCCAGUGUAGAUCCUGUCUUUCGUAAUCAGCAGCUACAUCUGGCUACUGGGUCUCUGAUGGCAUCUUCUAGCUUCUGCUUCAGUGUCCUGAGAGAGAUUAUUGGGCAGUCUUUAAUAAUGAAAACUUUACCUUGAAUUACACACACACACACACACACACACACACACACACACACACACUCACACACACACUCACACACACACAAAGAGAGAGAGAGAGAGAGAGAGAGAGAGACAGAGAGAGAGGAGAGAGUCAAGUUCUAGGGUGUUAAGUCCAACAUUAUCAGCUGGGGCUUGGGAACCUUCAAGGUUUUAUGAAUGAUGAGGUCUAUUUGCUUUCAAUACUACAAGGGGGAGGAAUCUGGAUAUUUAUCCAUGUUUUAGCUCUUACCUGUUUUUGUUUUACCUCUUUUUUUCUCUUUCCCCCCUAUGAAAGGUAUCAUUUGGAUAGAUCAAUCUAUUCAUCUAUCUACCUACCUACCUAUCUACCCCUACCCAUCCACCCAUUUAUCCAUCCACCCAUCCAUCCAUCCAUCCACCCACCUGCCCACGUACCUACCAGUUUAUCUAUCCGACCUUCCUUCCAUCCAGCUUUUUCAUCUCUUGACUUUUAGAUGGCAUUUUCAACAUGAUGUCAUGAUUAAAUGAUGACAACUUGAUGAUAUGAUGGUUUAAGGAAAUUUUGUUGGUAGUAGGUAAGUCCCAGCAUUUCUGACUGUUGGUUUUCUUUUCCUUGUGGUAGAAAAGACAAAUGCCAAUUUUGAAAUCUUGAAUGCAGUAGGCAGUUGUGUUGAAAUAGUAUGUGAGAAUUACUUGCAAGCUGAACAUCCAGGUCUGGGGCAUGAACCUGGCAUACAAUGUAGAUUUCUGUGUUCGUUAGGCAACAGCUACAUUGUCUGCUGGGUUUCAGGCUACCUGGAAACAUGUUCUCCAUUGGCUGUCUCACCAAUGCUACCCCUAUAAUGUUUCUGAAUAACUGUUUUCCAGGAGGUAUAAACCAGUGGAGUUUAUCAUUGAAUAGAGUGCAGAGAAAGGACCGCAAGAAAGCUGAUCACCUCAGCAAUGAAUGAUUUCAAUACGAUUUCACCCAAAUGGUCUCACACACCAGCCUAGUAAACCAGAGAUAAGGUGUAAUGUCAUCCUUCCUUCCUUCUCCCUGCCUCAACUGUCAAAGAUUGACAACUUACAUGUUGUUUACUUUUUGGCUUCUAUUUCUGUUCAUAAUUAUUAUCAGAAGGCAUAGCACCCACAAGCCUAAUCAUACUGCCUUACAACCUUAUUCCUCUUCAUUUUGUCUUCUCACUUACCUGCAGAAACCCAGUUUAUUUUUGUUCUCCCUUUACCACACCAGCCUUGUAACUGUUAUGAAUGACCCUCAAUCUCACUGGAAUCUGAAUCACUCAGGAAUUCAAGCAAACUGGAUGUUUUAACCACUGUUCAGCUUUCUUAUGGAAUGACAGAGAACUUGUAAAGAUAAAACACCAGUUUGCAGGAAGAAAGGAAGAGAAUGGAAAUUGCUUCUGGAAAAUACUAGUUUUACAAUAUGUUUUGUUUGUCUGCUCUCUUAAAUAAACUUAAUCCUAUAAACAUUUUUUAAGAACUAGCCAUUAAGACUGUUAAGUUCUCAAUUAUAAAGGAAUAAAAUGUUUUAAGGAGGAUUUAUUUGCCCUUGCUUAUAUGAACUGCAUAUUUUUAGUAGGAAAUCAUGUAAUUUAAAUUAGUAUUGGUUAACAGAUUUAACGUAGAAAAUGGACAUAUAAAGAAUACAAGGAUAAAUGUCUACAUGUAAUAAUGGAUGGUAGUGAUAUAAUGCAUUUUUGUCAUCCCAUGCUGAAUUCAGUAAAAAUAAAGCUAAUGACUUGGAGCUUUUAAAA